Molecule: ribosomal RNA, 552 nt
Filed under: uncultured archaeon
Lineage: Archaea
Description: bacterial SSU rRNA
Rfam family: Archaeal small subunit ribosomal RNA
Source: RNAcentral
ACGGGGUGCAGCAGGCGCGAAACCUCUGCAAUAGGCGAAAGCCUGACAGGGUUACUCUGAGUGAUUCCCGCUAAGGGGAUCUUUUGGCGCCUCUAAAAAUGGUGCAGAAUAAGGGGUGGGCAAGUCUGGUGUCAGCCGCCGCGGUAAUACCAGCACCCCGAGUGGUCGGGACGAUUAUUGGGCCUAAAGCAUCCGUAGCCGGUCAUGCAAGUCCUCCGUUAAAUCCACCUGCUCAACAGAUGGGCUGCGGAGGAUACUACAAGGCUAGGAGGCGGAAGAGGCAAGCGGUACUCAGUGGGUAGGGGUAAAAUCCUCUGAUCCAUUGAAGACCACCAGUGGCGAAGGCGGCUUGCCAAUACGCGCUCGACGGUGAGGGAUGAAAGCUGGGGGAGCAAACCGGAUUAGAUACCCGGGUAGUCCCAGCUGUAAACGAUGCAGACUCGGUGAUGGGCCGGCUUUAUGCCGGCUCAGUGCCGCAGGGAAGCCGUUAAGUCUGCCGCCUGGGGAGUACGGUCGCAAGACUGAAACUUAAAGGAAUUGGCGGGGGAGCAC